Molecule: ribosomal RNA, 116 nt
Filed under: Sinocyclocheilus rhinocerous
Lineage: Eukaryota; Metazoa; Chordata; Actinopteri; Cypriniformes; Cyprinidae
Source: RNAcentral
ACCACAGCCAUAUCACCAUGCAGCCCAAGACUGGUUGCCCACUGAAGCUAAGCAGGGUUGAGCCUGGUUAGUACCUGGAUGGGAGACCUCCUGGGAAAACUAGGUUGCUGCUGGAA